This is a small nucleolar RNA of Lemur catta (Ring-tailed lemur), 107 nucleotides long. RefSeq annotates it as small nucleolar RNA U13. The transcript has a single exon. The record is from RefSeq and is a predicted model, not a curated record. Lineage: Eukaryota; Metazoa; Chordata; Mammalia; Primates; Lemuridae.
AUCCUUUUGUAGUUCAUAAGCACAAUGACUGGGUGUUCAUGGGGAUAUGUGAGAUGUGCCUCCCUCAAACAAACCCUGUUACAAGUCGACACAUUACCCGUCUGACA